GACAGAGGUGGCGAGCGUUGUUCGGAAUUACUGGGCUUAAAGGGCGAGUAGGCGGUGGAGCAAGUCUGAGGUGGAAGCCUACGGCUUAACCGUAGAACUGCCUUAGAAACUGUUUUACUUGAGUCAGUGAGGGGAGGGCGGAAUUCCUGGUGUAGCGGUGAAAUGCGUAGAUAUCAGGAGGAAGGCCUGUGGCGAAAGUGGCCCUCUGGCACUGUACUGACGCUGAGGCGCGAAAGCGUGGGGAGCAAACAGGAUUAGAUACCCUGGUAGUCCACGCCCUAAACGGUGGGCAUUAGGUGUAGGGCUCGUAAGGGUUCUGUGCCGAAGGGAAACCAUUAAAUGCCCCGCCUGGGGAGUACGGCCGCAAGGUUGGA
RNAcentral lists this ribosomal RNA (374 nucleotides) under uncultured bacterium. RNAcentral describes it as "bacterial SSU rRNA". It matches the Rfam family "Bacterial small subunit ribosomal RNA", at positions 524 to 898 of the family's 1533-position model. The record is from RNAcentral.